This is a non-coding RNA of Pelobates cultripes (western spadefoot toad), 360 nucleotides long. NCBI's taxonomy places the organism in Eukaryota, Metazoa, Chordata, Amphibia, Anura, Pelobatidae. The record is from the annotation of a GenBank genome assembly.
UGUAGGUGGAAGCGGCGGUGGAGGAGGAGGAUGAGGUAGCCAACACUGUUUUUAUAUAUAUAUAUAUAUAUAUAUAUAUUUUAAUUGGGGUAGCCCCCAAAAUAUUGGGACAUAAAAAAAACAACUCUGUUCCGCAGAGUAGCUGUUGACAUUAUAGUUUCACAGGCACUUUGUUGACUCUAGAGAACCUCGGGCCAAUCGCACAUCCCCGUGAUGGCGACUUUGCAUUUGGAUGUCAUCCAUAUCAACUUUCGAUGCCAGUUUCUGCGCCUACCACGGUGACCACGGGUAACGGGGAAUAAGGGUUCCAUUCCGUACAGGGACCCUGAGAAACGGCUACCACAUGCAAGGAAGGCAGCA